This is a long non-coding RNA of Malania oleifera, 1542 nucleotides long. RefSeq lists it as uncharacterized. The record is from RefSeq and is a predicted model, not a curated record. The transcript has 2 exons. Lineage: Eukaryota; Viridiplantae; Streptophyta; Magnoliopsida; Santalales; Ximeniaceae.
CUUGAUCUCUCUUUCCUCCUUUCUUCUCUACCCGAAGACCUGCUAUCCCUUGGCGAUCAACAUCUCCUAGCAGCUCCAACGUUUUUUCGGUCGCAUCAUGUUCCUGUUUGCCGCUGCCGCUCGUUGCUCACGCUCCAGCACUGGCAUCGAAGCUAGCCGUUGUCCGGGGCUAUGAAGUCGGAGCCCUUUUGCCCGCUCCUCUGCAGCUCCACUCGAAGUCUCCCAUGACCAUCCUUCUCUCUCUCUCUCUCUCUCUCUCUCUCUCUCUCUCUCUCUCCUGCAUGCUACCGCAACAACACUAAGCAUUUGCGCUUCGUCCGCUGCGCCUCGUCGUUCCUAUGAGUUCAACUCGAAGCUCCCAAGUCCCCUUGGGAACUCGCCUUCACUCUUCACCUUCGCAACUCGCCUCCUCCGUGACUCGCCUUUGCAACUUGCCUUCGAGACUUGCCUCUUUCCCCCGCGGUUUGAUAUCCCCAAGAUCAGGUUCUUUGAUACCCCUUUCUCCAAACCCUUAAAUCUCAAUUCUUCUCUUGCUCUCACUAUUCAACAAGACAACCCAAAACACACAAAACAGAUCUAAGCUCUCCCUAAGCUCGAAAGGUAGGAUACCUCAACAAUGAGGAAGCACUCAUCCCCCGAAUACGAUCAAACAGAUAAGUGUCAAUUUCUCACUCUUGUUUUGAUGUUCAUACUGCUAUGAUUUGUCCAAUGUUAGGUGAUGUUUGAAUUUGUAUGAGUUAAAAACGGGAGCCUGCACACGUAUUUGAUUCAAUGUUGCUUAGCAUGUUCAUUCCUUUGAUUAGGGUUUGGGGCAUAAGGAAGGAGAUGGGUUUACCUUGUCUCAAGUCGGGCGAGUGGGCAACGGGUCAACUCGCGUGCGAGUCAACCCAAUGAAUGGGGAGAACUUGGGUAGACCCAAGUGAGUCUUGUGCUAGCAGCUAUGUGUGGGAAUUGUUGAAUUAGAUGUAAUCUCAAGGGGGAGGUGAAUUGAGUAUUUUAAAAUUCUUUGAAUCUAUUUACCACUUAAUCUCUAUUUGUAUAUUUAGCAAUGAGUUCUUAUUAUCCAAUUAAUUGUGUAAUGUUAUUCAAUCUAUACAUGCAAGACGAAUAAUUUAAAUGUAGUGCUGAAAGUAAAGAGUAAAGGAAAGAGAGAAGGCAAAUGCGGUUUUUACGAGGUUCAGUUAACUCGGCCUACGUCCUCACCUUGAGCAACUACUCAAGAAUUUCACUAAAAUCUCUGCUCUUUAAAUUGGGAUGGAGUUUUCCUUACAAUUCGCUAUUUAUAAGAGCCCGAAGGUAGGAUCCGACAAUGGCUGGCCGACCACUGCUGAGUCAAAUAAGUCUGUAAGUACGAUGAGCCCGUCGCAUCCUGGUCUGGACUGCUAGGUGGAUGUCCACACUCUACUGAAAGCCACAUCGACUAUCCAUCUUCCAUCCCCUCGUGGGGUGCUUAGCACUAAUCUGAACAUAAAUAUCUGAUCUAUACAUAGCUACGAUACCAAACUCUAAGAUUAAACUAAAUUAACAUUCGGGUUCUGAUAA